Molecule: long non-coding RNA, 5592 nt
Organism: Cygnus olor (mute swan)
Lineage: Eukaryota; Metazoa; Chordata; Aves; Anseriformes; Anatidae
Exons: 2
Source: RefSeq, a predicted model, not a curated record
GCCGGUGUGGGGCUGAAGGGCUGCUGCCCGUGGGGCGGAUGGGGGGUGUUUAGGAGGUCUCUAGGGGCUGCAGGGCGGCUGGAGAGGUUCUGGGGGCUGCAUGGGGCUGUGUGGUGCUGUAAGGAGGGAUGCGUGGGGACUUGCUGCGGGGUCUGGAGGGGCUGGGGAGGAGGUGAGGGAGGGGGACAGCACCACUGGGGUGGGAAGAAUCAAGGGGCUGGAUACCUGUCGACACUCUCCUGGGUGCUUUUUAGAAAUGUGGUGUGAAGGCAGCUCUUCUGUCUUAUAAGAUGGGGGUCCUGCUUGGAAACACUAGAGACUGGACUAGCAAUGGGAUAAAGAAAAGCUGAAAGGAUUCAGGCAGGUCUGCUGCGUUUAUCCCCUCACCCAGAAAGGUUCCCAGGGUGACGCAGACUCGAGGUGCUUGACCCAGGAUGCCUGUCUCCCACAGAUGGAGGGAACGGCCCGGGAACUGAAACUUCUGCCCUCACUAUGGGUCAGUUUUAUUUAAUUGCUGUAACUGGGGAAUUGGGAGCAUAACUGAGGUGAAGAUGAGUCGCUGGAAAGCCAGGCUCAGACAGCAGCAAAUCGUCUGAUGACUCCCUCAUCUAGACCUAGUGGUGGGACGUCCUGCCAGCAGUAGAGUCCUGGAGGAAGGGCACCCACCUGCAUGUGUGGGCACUGGGAGAGUGCAGCAGGCUCAGGCCCUGUAUGCAAAGCAGGAUCAGCCCAGCACAUAGAUAAGGUGUUAAUCACAGUUCUCCAAGUCCCAAAGAGUGUCAUUGUGGCUGUCCUGAUCAUUUCUUCCAGGGAGAAUGGGAGCCUGCAGCUCUGCUUGGCUUGUUUGCAAGGCGUGGUGAGGGUUUGUGUCAGGGUGCAUGCAGAUCACUGGGCUGCUCAAGGCCAGCCUUGAGUUCCUUGGCUGGAUAAGCUCUUCUGAGCCAAAGCUUUUUUGCUGUUCAAUCACAUUACACCAAAUUAAUGCAAAUAUGAACUUGAUAAGAAGACAACAGCAUACAUUCUUUACACAGCCAGAGUACAUAGAGAAAAUGUUGAGGCUUCAGGCUUUCUCACAGGGUGACAAUGUUUUGCGAUCUCUUUGUUUCUUUGUGUAUGGCUGCUUAGGUAGUGAUUGAGUAAGUUCUAAAUAAAAUAACUAUAUACAGCAUAUACAGGUUAUCGAAAAAAAAAGAAAAAAAAAGUAAAAAAAAAAAAAAAAAAAAAAAAGUAAGCUGUGCCUGACUUUUAAAAGCUUAUUAAAAGCACUGACAAAGGAAGAAGGGGUCUUUACCACGUGAAAGCAGAGAAUGUAUAUGUAAGCCAAGCAAAUUAAAAUAUCCCAUGUUGUUUACUGUCUCAUGGUACCACAGGACAGAAUUUUCCAUGCAACUACAUUUUAGUUAGAACUCAUCACUAAAAAUUUCAGGGGUUAUCCCUGGACUGAUGUGGGAGCCAUUGUAAUGAUAAUGGUAGACUCACAUUGCAAAUGACUGAUAUAGGUUUAUUCAACAGCAACAACAAAAACAUUAAAAAAGGAAGUCUGCAAAAUUCAUAUUUUAGUUGAAAGUUACCAAAACAACUAAAUAAACAAAUUGCUUUAAAUAAAUUUCUUUAAGUAAACACUGAGGAUGUUAUCAAAAACAAAAUCUGACAUCCAUAAAAAUCUUCUUCCAUUCUUGAGUCAUUCCUGUCUGUGGGAGGUAAAUUGUCAGUUCUUCAACGAAAAAAAUUGAUGGAUCCUAGCCAUGUAACACUUUGUGAAACACAUCAUGUAAAACAGAAGGAACAUGCAGUCUUUACAUGCAGGAAGAGAUAGUUUUAGCUGUUGUCAUUGAAGCCUGAUGAGAAGUGUAUUGAGCAGGGAACAAAGAUGCCAGUGAAGAUCUCACAUUACCAAAAUUAAUAUUAGGUAAUUCAAAUUUUAAAAUCUUCCUUAGUUUUGGGGGUGUUGGAGAAUCUAGUAAACUUUAUGCAGUAUAAACCAGAUGAGGCUACUAAGUAUAGUAAAGGAGUACAUCCAACCUUAGUGGGCAGCAACACUGCGUAUUUUCAUAAAGAUCUGUCAGUAUAUGCCCAUACUCAUUUCAUACAGGAAACAUACUUCUUUAAGAUGAAAAGGCUAUGCAUUAUUCCUCCAGAAAACUGCUUUUUUUUAUUACAUGAAACUAAUCUUUCUCCAUUGCAAGUUUUCUCCUCUCUAGCUCAAUCCAUGUAUCCAAUGGAGUUGGUGUAUUCAGAAAAGGAUACAUUAUAGUUUACAUCUGAAUCCCUUGUGAACUCAGGCCAUCACCCAGCCAAGACCAAACUGUGGUUUCCUGAGAGAAACACUGUCUCACUGGGUGAGCCCUGAAAGAAGAUGGUGAGUGGCUAAAGACGUUUGAAAAGAGCUCACUCAACACAAGAGAGAAACUGCAUGAAGAGAAGUUUAUUUGUUUUGUUUACUGGCAUUCUGGAGGGCUUUUUUAGUACAGGAAAGACUCUCUGGGCAGUGAAGUGGAAUUUAUGGGAAGUCCAAUUAUUUCCUUUGGAGCUGGGGGAAAGCCAUUCUUUCAGAGGGAAUGGAGAGCAGGGAUUGUGACAACCUGGGGAUACAGCUGGUUUUAAUUUUACUCAUCUCACUCUUCUGUAUACCAGCACCAGAAGAACUAAGUCCUUAGGAGAGAAAACUAGGUAAAAAGAUUACAAAAUACAGUAAUUUUGUUUCAUUUCUGUAGCAAGACUGAAAACCUGUUUUGGACACCAAUACCUUGGACAGAGGGGUAGUCAAUUUAACUGGAGGACAAGAACACCUUUGAAAGCAAAAAAAAGAAUCCAAGAUAGUAGCUAGAAUAUUAGCUAGAAUAUGGUGACACUUGUGAAGAAAGAACUAGGAGAAUGAGAAGGGCUUGUUUGCAUCUUGAUACCUCAGACACUAACUGGAAUGGAUAUAAAUUUGAACAUUCACUUUUCAGACACAAUAAGAAGCUUUUUCAAGGUUUUUUUUGGCAACUGAUAACUAAUCACUGAAUUGUCUCUUGAACAACAUCAUGUAGCAUACAUCUGGGAUGGACACUAAAUAUAUUCCAAAAUAAUACAAUUGGGUUUUCCUGGUUUAUGUGCAAAAGAAAUUUUUGCACCAGGUAGGAUCUAGGGAUCAGGGUUUGUGGGUGUGAGCUCUGGGGCCAGGUCCUUUUUCUUCAUCCUGCAAAUCACAAGUUGGAAAGACAGGUUACGCUUGCUCAACUCUCAUAUGAAACCCAGGAGGGCUGUAUGAUAUUAUCAUGACAAAUGAGGGCCACCAAGCUUUGUUUUCUAAGUAAUUCUAAUUCCCAGUUUUAUAUCCUGAGUUCAUAGUUUUGUAAUGGGUUCUACUUGUUAUACAGAAGACAAGGCAACAUACUUUUCUUCUCCUUUGCAGUACCCUAACACUAUGCAGAGCAUAUUAUGAAGUUUUCCAAAGCUGCUAACAGCAUCUAGAGAUAGUUAAAAGCAAUCAGUUACUCCCCCUGCAACUCCAGCAACUCAUGCUACACUGCAAUAUGAAAAGAUGUACUAAGAGCAUUCAACUGACAUUUAAAAAUUUGUCUAAACUGGCAAGUGGAGCAAAAGCUGCCCAUAGGAUAAGUAUUAAAAAAAUAUUUACAUUCUACUUAUAUCCUUAGUGAAACAGAAUUUGACAAAUCAUGAGCUUCAUUCACCAGCAUUCUGAAAUAGACAAAACUUGUGCUGGUAAACAGGGUUCAUUUAACUAAAAUGUAGACCAAUUAUGUGUGAUAUGAGCAUACGUGCAGAACUGUUUCAGAAGAAUGCAGCAACGUUAUAUAACAGCAUGUGGUGAUACAGUGUAACUGUUUAUGGUCAGAAAUUAGAAUUAUUAGAUGAAAAUGAUUUGCAGGGGAAUUCUAGGUUCUACAGUGCAUCUCAAGAAGAUGGAAAUCAGACUGAUGAGUGGAAUAAAUUUCCGAACUCAUAAUAAUCCGGUCAGAGAGAAGGCUUAGCACAAGCAAAGCAGUUCAGCUACCAUAGAUACCUAUCAACAUUUAAACAACACUUUUCACUAUACAUUUAACAGGUGAAGAGAACAGAGGGACCACAGUUGCCUGCGAAUCUCAGUCUCUGUGCCCAAACAGAAUCUGAAGUCAAAUUGAAUUUGACCUGGACCAAUGUAACAUAUAUUUGAAUAUAGUAAACUAAGCAUGCCUAAAUUCUAUUCAGAGAUUAUAAGAGAUUUCUGUAUCAGGAGUUGGUAUGACAUCCAUUGCAUUCCCUACUGACAUGACAUCCAUUUUCAUUCAUCUACUGAUGACUGACACUACUAGAAAUAGCAUUACUGAUAGGACGUUAACCAGGGCUGAAGUAAGAAGCAAAGAAGGAAAUUUCCCACAGUUCAGCCAGAAACCUUAGAAGAAAAUCCUGCGAUAAAGUGGAACUACUGUUUGUUUGUCCUACAGUAAGAUCUUCUGAUAUUAAUAAUUAUUUCUUUCAUAGGCCCCACCAAUUGGAGAUUGAACUGCUGAUAAGUGCAAUGUUGAAACUUGCUUUUCUUGUUUGUGAGAGUAAGCAUUUUAUUAAUCACUUCUGUGGCAUUUACAUACCACUGCAAUUUUUAUCCUACUCUUGUUUCUGUGCCUACCCACUUAAGCACUGAUUUUUAAUGUUGCAUUAUACUGCCUAUCCCAUAAUAGAUACCUACGUGAGCUUUCAUCACUAUAUUACCUUAGGAUUUCCACCCAAGGGACCAAUGUAAUUCAGAAAAUACUAGUGGAAAGCACAUUAAAAGUUAUGUCCUUAAAUCAAUCAGUUGUUGAAUGAUUCAACCUAAACCUGCAACACGCUCAUUCAUGGCUAGUCAUGGAGACAUCUGUUGCCUUUUUCCAGACAAUGAAUUUCUAGUGACAAUGCUACACAUGCAACAGAAAAGGCUUCAUGGAUGUUGCUCCUUCAAACCAUUCUUCCAAAUUCCAUAUCAUCCUUUGGAAGAGGCAAGGUGACUGUUGGAGGCAGCCCUAGAUCUUUAGAAAAUCUGCCUGCUGACAUCAGAAGAAAGUUCUUAUGCUCCUUUCAAGCUCUAAGAUGUGAGCAGUUUUGCCCAUGUAGCAUGGCUCUUGCCCCAGGCCACAGAAGGGAGAACAAGAGUGGGCUGUCACUUCAGUAAAUGUGUUUUAGAAGACUGGUCACCUUGCCUGUAUUUAAACAAAAUUAGCAGAUGAAGAUGUGUGCACCAUGUAAGUCAGCUAGGUCACUGCAAUUAGUGAUGUUUUAUAAUCCGGUUUGGUAGCCAAAAUUUUUAAAAGCCCUUGUAGUUGUAAAAAUAAAGAAAAUUGGUGGCUUAGGGCUAUGCAGAUGUUUUUAUAUAUGUAUAUUGUACAAACAUUGCUAAACCCAUAUAAACGAUAUGUUGGCUCUGUUCCUUCUACCACAUUUUCAAGAAAUCAGUGAGACUGCCUUAUUUUCUUUGUUUAGUGUGUGUCUGCUAUGGCAAAAUGUGCAAUGGAAAAACAACAUGAAUAAUUUGAUGCUACUUUUUUUCUUCAAUUUUAUAUACAAUUCUUGAUAAACAGAUUCUUGGUAAAUUAAAAGUCUAACAUUUUCUUAUAAAAAUGCUUUUCUUUC